GGAAGUAAAAGUCGUAACAAGGUUUCCGUAGGUGAACCUGCGGAAGGAUCAUUAACCUUUCAAAUCAGGGUGCGUCGCGGCCCCCGAGGAGCGGAAACAAUCCUUGGGAGGUUUGCGGAGUCUUCGGACCCCUUAACGCACGCACGACUGCCAUCCUUACUUUACGAGCACCUUCUGUUCUCCCUCGGCGGGGCAACCUGCCGUUGGAACCGAAUAAACUCUUUUUGCAUCUAGCAUUACCUGUUCCGAAACAAACAAUCGUUACAACUUUCAACAAUGGAUCUCUUGGCUCUGGCAUCGAUGAAGAACGCAGCGAAAUGCGAUAAGUAGUGUGAAUUGCAGAAUUCAGUGAAUCAUCGAAUCUUUGAACGCACAUUGCGCCCCUCGGUAUUCCGUGGGGCAUGCCUGUUCGAGCGUCAUCUACACCCUCAAGCUCUGCUUGGUGUUGGGCGUCUGUCCCGCCUCCGCGCGUGGACUCGCCCCAAAUUCAUUGGCAGCGGUCCUUGCCUCCUCUCGCGCAGCACAUUGCGCUUCUCGAGGGGCUACGGCUCGCGUCCAACAAGCACAUUUACCGUCUUUGACCUCGGAUCAGGUAGGGAUACCCGCUGAACUUAAGCAUAUCAAUAAGCGGAGGAA
This 636-nucleotide unclassified non-coding RNA is filed under the name Pseudopithomyces rosae. RNAcentral's name for it is "sequence contains 18S rRNA gene, ITS1, 5.8S rRNA gene, ITS2, 28S rRNA gene". The stretch from base 266 to 419 matches the Rfam family "5.8S ribosomal RNA". The record is from RNAcentral. Lineage: Eukaryota; Fungi; Ascomycota; Dothideomycetes; Pleosporales; Didymosphaeriaceae.